RNAcentral lists this ribosomal RNA (473 nucleotides) under bacterium enrichment culture clone ACBac6. RNAcentral's name for it is "bacterial SSU rRNA". It matches the Rfam family "Bacterial small subunit ribosomal RNA", at positions 1 to 524 of the family's 1533-position model. The record is from RNAcentral.
UAGAGUUUGAUCCUGGCUCAGAGCGAACGCUGGCGGCAGGCUUAACACAUGCAAGUCGAACGGGCGUAGCAAUACGUCAGUGGCAGACGGGUGAGUAACGCGUGGGAACGUACCUUUUGGUUCGGAACAACACAGGGAAACUUGUGCUAAUACCGGAUAAGCCCUUACGGGGAAAGAUUUAUCGCCGAAAGAUCGGCCCGCGUCUGAUUAGCUAGUUGGUGAGGUAACGGCUCACCAAGGCGACGAUCAGUAGCUGGUCUGAGAGGAUGAUCAGCCACAUUGGGACUGAGACACGGCCCAAACUCCUACGGGAGGCAGCAGUGGGGAAUAUUGGACAAUGGGCGCAAGCCUGAUCCAGCCAUGCCGCGUGAGUGAUGAAGGCCCUAGGGUUGUAAAGCUCUUUUGUGCGGGAAGAUAAUGACGGUACCGCAAGAAUAAGCCCCGGCUAACUUCGUGCCAGCAGCCGCGGUAAU